GAUGAACGCUGGCGGCGUGCCUAAUACAUGCAAGUCGAGCGAACGGACGAGAAGCUUGCUUCUCUGAUGUUAGCGGCGGACGGGUGAGUAACACGUGGAUAACCUACCUAUAAGACUGGGAUAACUUCGGGAAACCGGAGCUAAUACCGGAUGAUAUUUUGAACCGCAUGGUUCAAAAGUGAAAGACGGUCUUGCUGUCACUUAUAGAUGGAUCCGCGCUGCAUUAGCUAGUUGGUACGGUAACGGCUUACCAAGGCAACGAUGCAUAGCCGACCUGAGAGGGUGAUCGGCCACACUGGAACGGGGACACGGUCCAGACUCCUACGGGAGGCAGCAGUAGGGAAUCUUCCGCAAUGGGCGAAAGCCUGACGGAGCAACGCCGCGUGAGUGAUGAAGGUCUUCGGAUCGUAAAACUCUGUUAUUAGGGAAGAACAUAUGUGUAAGUAACUGUGCACAUCUUGACGGUACCUAAUCAGAAAGCCACGGCUAACUACGUG
RNAcentral lists this ribosomal RNA (497 nucleotides) under uncultured bacterium. RNAcentral describes it as "partial 16S ribosomal RNA". It matches the Rfam family "Bacterial small subunit ribosomal RNA", at positions 28 to 507 of the family's 1533-position model. The record is from RNAcentral.